Polistes canadensis is the source of this 296-nucleotide long non-coding RNA. RefSeq lists it as uncharacterized. The record is from RefSeq and is a predicted model, not a curated record. The transcript has 3 exons. NCBI's taxonomy places the organism in Eukaryota, Metazoa, Arthropoda, Insecta, Hymenoptera, Vespidae.
UUUCAAUGAUAGACCACCUGUGUUAACGACAUUUUUCAAGAGUGUUAAGAAAAAAUUUGAUAUUUAACACUAAACCGGUCUCGUAUUGAUCGGACCAAUAACGGAAUGCAGAAUUUGAUGAAAUAUUUCUUGGAAAGAGAAAAAGACAAAUAAACAAACCGGUCAUGCGAUACGUUUAACAUUCAUUGGGGAAGAAAGUGUAUUUUAAUUAAGGAUGGAAUAGAAAAAUAGAUUGUAAAAUGACAAGACUAGGAAUUAUUAGGAUACUUUGGGGUACAAGAAGAAACAAAAUGUAG